AUUGAACGCUGGCGGCAGGCCUAAUACAUGCAAGUCGAACGGUAACAUAAAAGAAGCUUGCUUCUUUUGAUGACGAGUGGCGGACGGGUGAGUAAUAUUUGGGAAACUACCUGAUAGAGGGGGACAACAGUUGGAAACGACUGCUAAUACCGCAUAUAGCCUGAGGGUGAAAGCAGCAAUGCGCUAUCAGAUGUGCCCAAACGGGAUUAGCUAGUAGGUGAGGUAAAGGCUCACCCAGGCGACGAUCUCUAGCUGGUCUGAGAGGAUGAUCAGCCACAUUGGGACUGAGACACGGCCCAGACUCCUACGGGAGGCAGCAGUAGGGAAUAUUGCACAAUGGAGGAAACUCUGAUGCAGCCAUGCCGCGUGUGUGAAGAAGGCC
This 382-nucleotide ribosomal RNA is filed under the name uncultured bacterium. Its description in RNAcentral is "bacterial SSU rRNA". It matches the Rfam family "Bacterial small subunit ribosomal RNA", at positions 30 to 416 of the family's 1533-position model. The record is from RNAcentral.